AAAUGUGAUUCAGGGACACUUCUGUACGUUUGGUGUAUUUUUUUCAGUUACAAGUGUCCAUACAGUUAUGGAUAAGGAAACCUGCAACGUGUUGGCGAAUUGAGGAUUCGCCGAUAAAAUCCCAUUAUUUUAUUGCGAAAAAAUCGACAAUGACCGUCUUUCAAGACUUGAUUGCACCCAGCCUAAUCCAAUAAUUGACAAAACAUUUACUUCAGAAGAAAAGCGAACGAAUUUUGUAUCUAAAUUAAGCCUCUAUCAAGGCCGAAUUUUUAAUGAUAUUUAGAUCCAAGUGGAAACUGAGGACGCAGAAAUGAUGAAGUGAACCGAAAAUUGCUGCUGCUCUUGCCAGCCCUGUGCCCGUCUGUUGUAAAAAUUAUAAAAAAGGGUUCAAAGUCAACAUGGAAACCGAGUACCCAAGAAUCACAGACCCCUGGAGACAUUGUCAAGUCAGUGAGAAACACUACGAGAGAAAUAUGGCAAGUUUGACAUCCAGCUUCAGCCAUUUAUUAUUGUAGUAGGCCCAACAUUAUCGGAAGUCACUGCAUUCUAUGUGAAUAUAGAUAAUACGAGGUAUCGUUUUCAAAAUAUCCUAGCUGAUCUUGACCUUUGCUUCAAGAGCUUCGAUGUACUGCAUGCACAAUAGCCUAAGCCAAGUGAACAGGUAAGGCUGUUUUUGUAAAAAGCAGUUUAUGCUCUUAAUACAAAAUGGGAUAAAAAAAGCGACUCGCGUCGCAACACUUCUGGCAGCCGUAAAACACAUGUAAACAAGUUCUUUAGCGUAUAGAAACUCGCAUAGAUGGACACCUUUCUUUCUUUAAAACUUAGUCAUGCGAAAAAUUUAAGUAGGAAAAAAUAAAAUAGUUUAUUUAAUUUUUACUGUGAAGAAAUAAGAAAUUAAUAUCAAUAUGUUUCUUUGCUACAUUUGUGGGCUGACACUUGAAACUUCAAGUCUUUUACUGUUUCAGUUCAAAAGUUUUCACUUUAUUGCUUCUCGAAACAAAUAAAUAUGCAAACAAGAAAAUUGCACAAAUGUUUUUCCAAGUUCUCAUGCUUUCAAGAAGCAUCUUGACAGAAAUUUAAUAAUGUAAUUAUACAUUCAGCGGGACUUUUCACAGCUCAGUUACAUAAUCAAAUAGCAGUACCACGUAAUGUUGUUCAAAACAGUAUAGAUUUUACAAAGGAAUUUUUUGAGUACGGGAUUUAUAAUAUUUUGAAAGAUAAAGUUUCUAGUAUCUUAGAAAGAGAUUUUUCUGAAGCGGAUAAAAACGACUUGGAGGUCGUGUUCAAUAUUGCUGAAAACCCUUUUGAAGAUCUUGAGUCGAAAUACAAGAGAAAAAAAUAUUUUAGGUAAACCGGAUAUUUCGUUGAACCUGAGUCAUAUAUAAUUGGAGAUGCUAAAACCUACAAAAUAAUUGUUG
This is a long non-coding RNA of Belonocnema kinseyi, 1418 nucleotides long. RefSeq lists it as uncharacterized. NCBI's taxonomy places the organism in Eukaryota, Metazoa, Arthropoda, Insecta, Hymenoptera, Cynipidae. The record is from RefSeq and is a predicted model, not a curated record. The transcript is spliced from 4 exons.